GGACGAACGCUGGCGGCGUGCCUAACACAUGCAAGUCGAACGAGAAGUCUACUUAUGAAAUUUCGGAUGGAUUAGGUAGAGGAAAGUGGCGAACGGGUGAGUAACGCGUGAGCAAUCUGCCUUGUACUGGGGGAUAACGUCGGGAAACCGGCGCUAAGUACCGCAUAAUACUAUGAGAUCGCAUGGUCAUAUAGUCAAAACUCCGGUGGUACAAGAUGAGCUCGCGUCCAAUUAGCUAGUUGGUGGGGUAAUGGCCCACCAAGGCGACGAUUGGUAGCCGAACUGAGAGGUUGAUCGGCCACAUUGGGACUGAGACACGGCCCAGACUCCUACGGGAGGCAGCAGUGGGGAAUAUUGCGCAAUUGGAGGGAACUCUGACGCAGCAACGCCGCGUGAAGGAUGAAGGUUUUCGGAUUGUAAACUUCUUUGAUCGGGGACGAAAUUGACGGUACCCGAGGAACAAGCCACGGCUAACUACGUGCCAGCCGCGGC
Molecule: ribosomal RNA, 492 nt
Filed under: uncultured bacterium
Lineage: Bacteria
Description: bacterial SSU rRNA
Rfam family: Bacterial small subunit ribosomal RNA
Source: RNAcentral